UACGUAGGGUGCGAGCGUUGUCCGGAAUUAUUGGGCGUAAAGGGCUCGUAGGCGGUUUGUCGCGUCGGGAGUGAAAACCAGGUGCUUAACACCUGGCUUGCUUUCGAUACGGGCAGACUAGAGGUAUUCAGGGGAGAACGGAAUUCCUGGUGUAGCGGUGAAAUGCGCAGAUAUCAGGAGGAACACCGGCGGCGAAGGCGGUUCUCUGGGAAUGACCUGACGCUGAGGAGCGAAAGUGUGGGGAGCGAACAGG
Molecule: ribosomal RNA, 253 nt
Filed under: uncultured bacterium
Lineage: Bacteria
Description: partial 16S ribosomal RNA
Rfam family: Bacterial small subunit ribosomal RNA
Source: RNAcentral